UUCUUUGGAGAGUUUGAUCCUGGCUCAGGACGAACGCUGGCGGCGUGCCUAAUACAUGCAAGUCGAGCGGACCGGAUUGGGGCUUGCCUUGAUUCGGUCAGCGGCGGACGGGUGAGUAACACGUGGGCAACCUGCCCGCAAGACCGGGAUAACUCCGGGAAACCGGAGCUAAUACCGGA
Molecule: ribosomal RNA, 179 nt
Filed under: Geobacillus stearothermophilus ATCC 12980
Lineage: Bacteria; Bacillati; Bacillota; Bacilli; Caryophanales; Anoxybacillaceae
Description: partial 16S ribosomal RNA
Rfam family: Bacterial small subunit ribosomal RNA
Source: RNAcentral